ACCCCGGAAUCCGGUGAAGUUCCGGCAACCCAAAACCCCUUUUCCCUCCAUCUUCUCUGACUAAUGACCAUCAGAAAACCAGCUAAAACAGCACUAAGCAACAGCGAACAACAAAACAACCAUAGCCGCCGGAAAAUCGGCAACCAGAAACGCACCACCACUGCCUCCCCGCUUCUCCAUUUUUUUCAGACCCGAAACCACACCACUUGAAACCAACCUUCAGUGUUCCCAGACCACCAGAAACAACCUCCGACUACCACCAAAACCCCUUUCUCUUUCCCCAUUUUUGCCGGCGAACCAACGAGCUCAAAGCUCCGACGGACAGCGACACACCAUAAAACCUGCGAGCUCAAAGCUUUAGCAGCUCCAGCGAACCGGAAACAACCAAACAAGCAUCAGCUCCAUCCGCAAACUCCUCCGGGCAGCAAUAAUAACAACAACCAACACUCCAACUCCGGUAAUCUUUUUCUCAUCGUUUUUCUCUUCAGAUCUGGCCGGAGGAGUUCCAACUCCGGUAAUCUUUUUCUCAUUGUUUUUCUCUUCAGAUCUGGCCGGAGGAGCAAACUCCGGCCAUUGUUAUGAUUUAUUUACUUUUUUUAGUUAUUUAACGCAAAUUUUCCGGCGAACAUUAUUCUUUAUCUCCAUUUUUGCAUUUCUAUUGUCAUUGUUGUUUUGGUUCUCAAUUGAUUUUUGUGUUACUGAGAUUUCUCAGUUGAUUUUGUUAAAAUUUGGCAGCCGGACUGCAUACGUUUACUACUGUUUUACUUCAUAUUUUAUUGUUUUCCUCUUUUAUAUAAUUUAAUGACUUUAUUGGAGUGUUCAUUUAUUUUGUCCCGAUAAUGGACGGCAUGUGUUUGUUUACCACUAUUGUUAGCUUCCUAGAAUAUGUACCGGUGAUUGACAACUUCCUUUGGAUUAAUUUUGUUAUACAGUUGGAUAUAAUAUUUAUGUAAUGGUCUAUUAAUAUUUUUUUUUAAUUGUUGUUAUAGUUUGUAUUGUGGUAGCUAAAUAUGCUAUGUUACGUUGGAUUUAAUGUUGUUUAUAGCAUUGUGGCAUUUUAAACUUUUUAAUCUCAUUCUUUUUAAGUUGUAUUUUAUCUUAGUUUGUUUUAUUUAGUUAUUCUUGACGUUAAAUUCUUUGGAUUGGUUAUAUUUUGCUCUAGAAGUUUAAAAUGUUGCUAGUUGUCAUCAUUCCGUUAUUUCUAUAAUUUACUAUUUAUUAGGUCAAUUGUUAUUUAGAUAUUACAUAUUACUUUUUGUUGUGUUUAUUAGUUUCAUGCCAUUUUUGUGUUGGAAAAAAUAAAAUUGUACAAUGAAAAAAUCUCUCCGUCGAUUUUGGAGGCUUUCACAUUGCGAAAGACAAAAAUUUAGUUUAAAUUUAUAUAUUUUGUAAGUUAAAUCGGCCGAUGAAGAAAUUACCGUCGAUUUCUAAGGUCUCCCAUGUUAAUAAGACGGAUUUUUAUUUUUUAAGUAAUUGUUUAAUUCAUUUAUUUUUGUCCAUAUUUAUUUAUAUUAACACUUUUACUAAGUGUCUUUACAGAUAUCCGGAGCUGCUUCCCAUUGAAGCUAUUCAACAAAGUUCGAACAAUAUUUUUGAUUCAUUAUUGUAUAUUAUUGACGAUAGGCAAAUCUAGGUUGUUUCUUAUAUUAUUGUUUUAUUUUAUUACUUGUGUAUAUUGUAUGUUUGUUUUAUUUUUUUUUAUCUCUUCCUCAAUUUGAAAAAAUGAACUUAGUCGGGAUCCACAAUUGUGGAUUUCGAAGGAUUUUUUUAUCUCUUCCUCAAUUUGAAAAAAUGAACUUGGUCGGGAUCCACAAUUGUGGAUUUCGAAGGAUGCCUUACACCUUCUCUUCAGAAUAACUUGAACCCCUUACCUAGAAUUGAUUGGUUUCGUAGACAUUUUUAAUUGGUUUCUUAGUUUUUCCUAAAAUUAGGUGGCGAUUCCUUUAAAAUUCGUUUAUUCUUAAAUUCUUUCAAAAUUGAUUCAAUUGUUUAUUUUUUGAGUUAGCACGACGUUUCUUCCUAUUUGAAUAGAGUAACGAUGUAAACAGUUUGAUUAUAAUAUUUGUUAGAUUUCAAGAAAUAAUUAUUAUUUAGUAUUGUUAGUACUAUUGAACAGAUAAUAUACAAAUAUAUUACAUAUAGUUUCAAUUUCGUUCUUUUUUUUGUACAUAAUUAUUUUAAUUGGUAUAUGAUAUAUUUUUUUUAUUUAGUUGGUUGCAUAUAAUGAAGAGUUUGACAUAUUGAUCAAAACAUGAUGGCGGAUCUACUUAUAAAGGAAGAUGAUAGAAGGAAAAAAAAAUGAAGCAUAAUUAGAGAUUAUUUUUCCACUUUGAAUUG
RNAcentral lists this long non-coding RNA (2337 nucleotides) under Solanum tuberosum (potato). RNAcentral describes it as "long non-coding RNA (STUB_LNC000673)". The record is from RNAcentral. Lineage: Eukaryota; Viridiplantae; Streptophyta; Magnoliopsida; Solanales; Solanaceae.